RNAcentral lists this transfer RNA (72 nucleotides) under Ceratocystis platani. It matches the Rfam family "tRNA". Rfam says of the family: Transfer RNA (tRNA) molecules are approximately 80 nucleotides in length. Lineage: Eukaryota; Fungi; Ascomycota; Sordariomycetes; Microascales; Ceratocystidaceae. The record is from Rfam by way of RNAcentral.
CGGGAUGUAGCGAAGGGGUAUCGCGCUUGCUUUGGGAGCAAGAGAUCGUAGGUUCGAGUCCUAUCAUCCCGA